RNAcentral lists this long non-coding RNA (8226 nucleotides) under Erythranthe guttata (spotted monkey flower). RNAcentral's name for it is "long non-coding RNA (EGUT_LNC001363)". The record is from RNAcentral. Lineage: Eukaryota; Viridiplantae; Streptophyta; Magnoliopsida; Lamiales; Phrymaceae.
CCCCCUCUUGUUUUGGUAAUUACAACCACCCCUCUUAAAUAUUUUUACAUAAAAUUUAUGUAAUUCGGUUAUUUACCGAACCAAAUCGUAUAUUCGGUGCGGUAAACGGUAUGAAUUGUUAGUGUACCGAAACUUUAGUUUGGUUUUACCGAAUUAACAUCCCUAAAUUUACCUCUGGAGGGGUAUUUUCUGGAGAGGUAUUUUCGUAAGAUAAUACAUAAUUGAGGGGUGUGGUUGCAAUUACCCAAACAGGAGGAGAGUUUUCGUAAUUUGGUACUAAAUGAUUUCUUGUUUUUUACCUAUGUAGAUUUCAAACGAUUGCGUAUCUACAACAAAUAUGGUGGCUGCAAGUAGACGGAGACCUCGAUUUCUUCUUCCCGACAGGAACUUACAGCCUCUUCUUCCGAUUACAGCUCGGAAAAGUCGGGAAGAGGUUAUUAGGGCGGCGUGUGUAUAAUUACGAAAACGUCCAAGGUUGGGAUUUAAAGCCCGCCCAGUUUCAGCUGACGACUCAGCACGGCCAGCAUGCGGCUUCCCGUUGCAUGCUGGGCAAUUUGGGAAACUGGGUUCACUACCAUGUUGGAGAUUUUGUCGUAGAGGAUCCGAACGAGAAAACGAACGUCAAAUUCUCGUUGACCCAGAUUGACUGCACACACACUAAAGGUGGACUGUGUGUUGACUGUGUUGUGAUAUGUCCUAGUAGUGUAGGGAAAGAUAUGUUUUUUCUGUAGAUGAUUAGAAAUGCAUUAUGUAUAUAAUUUGGGACUUGUAACCCGGGUGGCUGUUAAAUCGUAAAUCGAAUUAAAAAUUGAUUUAUUAAAUUUACGAAGUGUAAACCGCAACCGAUUAUAAAUUCGUAAUUUUUUUAUAUAUAAUUUCAAAUUGGUAGAAAUAAUUAAAGAUAUUGUAUUGAAAUAAAAUUACAUGGUAUCCAUUUCAGCUUGCAUAUCUGCAGUCCGGGGAAGAGACGAGGUCUCGUUUGGCUUAAAAUAUUCGCGCAACGAAAUUACGAAAAAACCGACCUUGGAAUUAAAAUCGGAUAUUCGUUGAGGAAAAGAUCUCUUCGUAUGGAGGUGCCUGAGCAGCGAAACGAGGAGGCAUGUUAGAGUCACACAGCCCGUGAUGGCGAAAAGGACGAGGAAGCUCCGCAGCGUGACACUUGUCGGCGAGCUAUUGGUCUCCGGUUCGGAACAUUCCUUGCCAAUCGUCAUCCGUUGCUCGAUCUCGAGAAUCGUGCCGUCUUCGAUCCGCUGUAUUAUGGCUCUUGAGAUAUCUGCAACUAGUGGCGAACCCUUCGAAAAAGCCUGAAUUUUGGUACAAAGUAUACAAAAAAGUUAAAGGUUAAAAUCGUCUUUUAGAAAUACGUACACAUCCAUGUGGGUACGUGUGUGAAUUGGAGACAAAAAUAUUAUUCUUACGAAGGCGAAUCCAUCAGUACGAUGGAUAGGGCCCACGAUCAUAUACUUGCCGCAGUUUCGGGACAACAAAAGCUUAAUGUGUGGCAUCACGUCGUAAUAGGCCGACACGCCCCCGUUUUUGCUCCCCAAUGAAAGAGCCUCUUCGCAAGCUUCGGCCGAUUUGAACGUCUUGAUCUUCGCCUCGUCGAAUUUCAAAGUAGUUUUCAAGAAAUCGAAUAAAAAAGAACCCUCUUGACACCCGACGAAAUGCCCGUUCUUGGUGAGCUGCGACACGUCUGUCACCAUCGGUCGAAGCCUCGCCACUGUGAUUCUAGACGACAGGCUGGCGGUGUAAAUCGAGUUCAAAAGGCUCGCUACGAAAGCCCACGUCACGAGAAUCAAACAAAGUAAGUUUGCCUCAAUUCCUUCUCCUACACACACACACACACAAAACAAAAAAAAACCAAAGUUAUAUAAUAAGUUAUUUUAUUUAAUUUGAUCAGAUUAAGGUUAAUAAAUUUUACCAGGAAAGAAUGGGAAGUAGCAAACCAUGCCGGCAUGCUGAGCUGGCGAACCGACAUUGGUCCGAUUAGCCAAGAUCCAAAUCGCUAGGGCCGUCGAGAUAUAAAAGACUGCCAUUGUUAGCCAAAGCUCUAUAGUUAGGGGCUCCAAGAAUGUGAAAAUGUCGUUUACGUCCUCAUACUUUACGGGAACUAUGCUAGCGACCCCACCUUCGGCAUACGGAAGGGUAAAAUCGGCAUAAGUCGACCGUGUAGCCGUAAUGGUGAUAUCCCCUAAAGCACCAUCAUAAUUUUCCUAUAUAUAUGUAUAUAUGAUCACCAAGAAUUAUUAACAAAAUAUGUAUUAAGACAGAAAACAAAAUUGAGGUAUAUAUUUAUUCUAAGACUCACCUGUAAUGAAACUUCAUGCACGAGAUUGUCGUAGUUCCCCGUUUUCGAACCGUUGGAGUUAAAAAAUGGGUACGGAACGUAAUCGUACGGUACAUAGUACGGUAAACUUUUCAUUACGGCAUCGAAAACCUCUUUAUAGUAUCCAGUAACGUUGGGUGUAUUAGUCUUCGGAUCUAUCUCGACUUUCAGAAACUCGUUAAAACCGGGUUUUUUCGGCACACCAAUUCUUAGUUUCUUACCAUUGAUUACGGGAAUUUCCCAUCCUUUAGGUUCUUUCGUCGAGUCCCCGGGCCAUAUUAUACUCUUUAAAUUCUUCGAAAUUCCACUAGACGGGGCCCACGUUCCCACUUGCCUCUCGUUUCUUCCGACAACAUUAACUAUCUCGUACGAUGUUUGCUCCAAUUGUCCGUUAACGAGGCUAAACUCUCCGGCAAGUCCUGGGAACUUGAUCUUUAGUAAUGCUUCUAGAAUUUUAGGGCCCGUUUCCGAAACUUCCACCGCGAACGGGCCCGCAUGUGCCACGUCAGCUCCAUUUUUCGUUACGUGUGUUAUGUUAUUCCCAACUCUUUCGGCCGCCAUAGCAAGGGCCCAAAAAGUAUCAUAAGCCCAAAGACCGAACACACUCACUUCGGUCGGCUUGAUCAUCGUAUGAUUCUCGUUUGCCAGAAGAAACUUCCGUAACCAUCUAGAAGCGAAGGAUUCGAAUUCCUUCGAUUUCGGGAUUAAGGGCCUCACCCCGAUAACCCCUUGCAUGGCUUCAACAACUUCGGAAUCGACCAAAUUGAAUAAAUCGGUCAAUCCACUCGUAACAAUCCACACGUACCCCUCGCUCAUCAUACCUAAUUCUCGCGCUUUUAGAAACACCCGUUUUCCGAGAGAUUGCGACGUGUGUACCAAAAAUACCCUUGUCUGCAUUGCCAUCAUUUUGUAGAGCUCUUUACCUAUAAAAUCGUCCGUGGCCGAUUUAGGAAAAACACUUCGGUAAGAAACUCGAACGUGUGCAUCUUGCAACGAGUUGGAGAGGGAAGGAAUAAUCCCGUUUCCGAAUUCCGUUUCCUCGUACAUAAUAACAACUUGGGCCCACUUAAACGCUUCGACUAUUGAGACGAUAGCUUGAACUUGAGUGGCGUCGCUUUGAGCUGUCUGUACGAAGAAAGGACUUUGUGGGACCAGAGAAGGGCUCGUGGCCGAGAAGGAUAUAAUCGGAACACGAGCCCUUUCUCCGAGAUCCAUCAAAAAGUCAACCUGAGUUGACUGUUGAGGGCCGAUAAUUGCAUCCACUUUGACUUCUUGCAGCAAAUCGAGAGCUGCAAUGUCGAUCAUGUCUAUUAGUCCCGAAUAUAUUAAAAAAAGAAAAAAAAAAUCGGAAAUUUACCGGCAGCUGCAGCAUCAACGACACUAUUGUUAGAAUCUCGAAUAUGGAAAACGAGCCUGCUUUUAUAGUCGGGAUGGAGCGAAUAAAAAUCGGAACGGGCUAUCGAUAAGCAGCUCAUUCCUAUACGCCCCACCGGCGACUCCGGUGAAGCCAAAUCGAGAAUCACUCCGACAUUAAAAUCGAUUUUAUUGCUGCUUUUACUAGUACUUGAAUUUUGAGCUUUGGAAAAAUUAAGCAGAAGAAGAACAAGUGAUGUAUACAAAUGGAGUAACAAUGAAUGCAUUUCUUUCUUAGACUUGUAAGUCAAUCAUUGAAAAAAAGAAACCCUACUAUAUAUAUACAUCUAUGUAUAUAUAUGUAAGAAAUUUGAGAAAAAAACAAAUUUCAAAAUUAGGAAUUGAAUUGGUAAACCGAAGAUAGAUAUAUUCUUUCAUAAGCAAUUACAGAGAAAUUGAGUAUUAAUUGGUCCACAAUAUAUAUAUAUAUAUAUGGUCUACCAUGCAUGUAGCAUACAAACAAAAAAUGUAUUUAAUGAUGUACACAAUUGUUCGUUAGUUGGAUUUUAUCUUCAAACGUACCAAUUUACCGUGUCGAUUAGCGAUUAAUAGAGCUUAAUUUAAUUACAUCGAUCGGUAUAUACUCGGAUAUGUAAGGCAUAAAAAUUGACCAAGAAAUACGUUAAGUCUCCUACCUGAGAUAUCUUAAUUAUAUAUCCAGAUAAAAUAUUUCCAAAAAUAAAACACGAGGAAUUCGUCGUAAAUCGUACGAAAUAUCGUUGUUGAUUAAUUUAUAGAAUAAGUCAGUUAUAUUAGGGAAAUUCUUGUACUAAAUCCCAAGGUCAAGAUGAAGAAUUAAGGAAAAUAUAGUUAGGAAACUGCAGGGAAAAUGGGUUUGACAGUUACAUGGAGGGAAAUACAAGAAAAUGCAGCUCUAAAUAAUAAUAAAUAAAUAAAUAAAUAAUUGAAUUGAAUUGACAAAUAAUCAUAGUAAUAUACAUACAUGUCUUGAUCUGCAUUUAAUUUAUGGCAUAUUUUUUCCUAGAAUCUGUCAGCAUGAGACGAAAUUGUACAUAUGUUUGAAGACAUAAAAAUAAACAGAAAAUUAAUUCGGAGAUAUAUUAAGAAUAGACAAGAACUGGAUUUUUUACUUACGAGAACGAAGAAAUUAUUUUACAUGGAAUUGCAUUUCCGACGUAGAAAGUUGACACUGUGAACACCACUCUUCGCAGGUGAAUUUUUUUUUCGAAUUAUUCGAUUCAUGAAUGAUGCAAAUGGUAAGUAAUGGAAAACAUGUAUUGUCGGUUUAAGAUCUCAUAUUUUUCGAUUAUAAAAAAAGAUCGAAUUACAAGCAAAUUUUGAUUUAAAAAAAACAAUGAUUUUUCGAUUUAAAAUAUUAGAACAAUGGUUAAUUAGAUGAUGCAAACUUCACAAUAUGGUCCAGUAAAUUCAUGUGCAGUUUAUGUGCAUAUAUAUAUAUAUAUAUAUUAUUUAUUUAUUUAUUAUAAUUUUAAAUAUACCAAAAGAAGGUUGAAACCUCACUGUCAUGAAAGAAUAAGUAGCAAAUUAAAUGGAUUAUCAUUCCUCAUUGCCAAGAGUAAAAUAAAUUGCGUAUGCAAAAUUGUCACGAGUAAAAAAAUACUCUCCCCAUUCCAAAAUAUUUGUCGAUUUUAAGAAUAUAAAUUUUCCGUUUCGAAUUAUGUCACUUUAAAGAUAUAAAUUUUCCGUUUCGAAUUAUGUCACUUUAAAGAUCCAAUGAUGUAUUUAUCACACUUUUCGUGAUUUCGCUCUAUUCAUUAUUAACCAAUUGAGAGAGGUCGAGUGGAGAUGUAAUUAAAUUAAUUACAAGAAGGGAUAUUUCAGUCACUCUCAGUGUUUUUUUCCUAUAAUCUGUGCAUAUUUAUUAGUUCUCUUAAUAUGCGUGCCAUAAUUCAGAAUAAAAUAUAUAUUAGUUUUCUAAAGUAUCCACAAUAUUCACAAUAUUCACAAUAAUAAUAAUAAUAAUAAGAGUCAAGAUUAAAAGAUUAAAAUGUUAAUUGAAGUACAUUGACUAAUUAAUUUCAUAGAUUAUGAUAGAGUAGGGUAGGAAAUAAUUGGGAUUUGAAUAGAAUGGUUGAGUAAAUUAAAUGUGGUAGCCAUCAAACCACUCUUAUUGCAUGUGAAUCCAAUAGUAUGUCAUAAUAAUUCCUCAAAUUCAAGCAAUGCCAAAUCUUUAAAUAAAUGUUGGUGAAAUAUUAUAAAUAUAUAAAAAAAAGUCGUGUAUAAUAGCAUUGACGGUCCCCUCUCGUUUAAUGCAUUCAGCCCUCCGAACUUAAAAUUCUGGCUUCGCUAUGUUUGCACGUGCAUAUAGAGUUGCACUGAAGAAUUGAGUUGAGUGAUCAUGUACAAAAAGAAUCAAUGCAAAAAGUUAAAAAAAAAUAUUAAAAAAAAAAACAGUAAUAUAUCUAAAUGAUGAUAUUUAUUUGAACAAUUAAUAAUGUGUUAAGUACUUAUAUUAAUUGUGAUUUGUGCAUGUUUAACUACUCCAGCCCAUCAUAAUUAGGUUGAGCUGGACUUGGACCAAAUGAACCUACUACAGCCCAAAAAGGUCUACAUACAUAUAUAUCGUUUAUAUAUACAUUUUUUUUAAAUAGUUAUAUAAAAUAUUAAAAAGAAUAAAAAAAUCAUACAAAUCUGUUUGAAAUUCAAAAGAUUCUAAUAUGUUAGAAUAUUAACCUUAUUCAGAAUCAGAAUAUAUCUGCAACAUAAAGAACACAACCCCUUUUUGUUAUUUUAAUUUUCGAGUGAAUUAGCUGCUCACUUCUUAGAAAAAAGGUUAAAUUAUGACCCAACUAUCUGAAUUAUGAUUAAAUUAUGAAAAUCCUAUCAUAUUUGGAUAAUUACAACUAUCUCUUGAACUAUAAAUUUUCUUACACAUCUACCCUCGUAGUGUUGGAAUCUUCUAGAUUACGUGGAAUAAUCUCCAGUUUGUACCAGUUUUAUCCUAUUCAAGCUCCAUAUUUUGAAACAAGAUGAUCAUAAAUAUCAGACUGUGGCACAUCAGAAACUGCAUUUUUGCAUAAAACGAGUUCUAACUAGGAAACAUUCCACGUAACCGAAAAGAUUAUGUUGAAAUUUGACAGGGUGAACGUGUAAAAAUAUCCAUAAUUGAGGAGGGUAAUUGUAAUAAUCCAACCAUGAGGUGUUAAUUCGUAAUUUGACUUUAUCUCGUGGUUAAACCGUAAUUUAUCGUAGAAAAAAAAUGCAAUCUUUUUACAAAGUGGUAACUUGACCCCUAAAUUUCUUGAUUUUUACAUAGAAAAUUAUAUAUAUGUGUGUGGACCAAGAAGAGAUGUGUACGUGUGUGUGUGAAUGUGGGCAUUGAUCAGAAAAUGAAUGUGGGCAUUGAUCAGAAAAUGGGAGAGAAUUCCAGGAGGAUAUAUCGAAGUAGACAGUCUGUAAAUAAAAAAAUAAAUAAAAACAAUAUAAAUGAAUUAAAUAAAUAAAAUUAAACAAAUAAAAACAAAAAUCAGUACAUGCAUUUCCUUCACUUUGUAAAAAAUGGGGGUUAAAAAAUAAAAAUAAAGAGGAAGUCAAAAUUUUCACUGCCGUCACAAAAACAAAAUCUUGUGACAGAGAGAGAAAAAGUAUUUUUGUAUAGAUCAGUGUGUGUACUGUGUGUAAUCGAGAGUCAACCGACCCGACCCUUUUCUUUUUCUCUCUCUGUAAUAAUUUUAUAUUUUUUGGUGUUAUGUAUAUGUGGUCUUCGAAAACUCCACAUAGUAUUGCGGGUAUUAUCUUCACUCUCUCUCUCUAAAAGCAGCAGAAUAAAAUUCUCUCUCUUAAAUUUUGUUUUUUGUUUUUCCAGCUUUUUGGCUUUUUAGGUAGCAAGUCAAGCAUGCAGAUAUUGAGAUAACAAGUGAAGUAAAGAAAAGAAAAGAAAAAAGAAACUAGGGUUUUCAUGUUCUUGUUGUUCACAUUGGAUGGAAUAAAGAUUGGAUUUUUUUUAGUGAGAGAAAGUGGGUUUUUUUUCUUUUAGUUUAGGAAAGAGAAAGAGAGAGAGAGGGUUUGAGAACGAAGCGCAGAAGUUGCCUUCUUUCUCUUACUUUCUCUCACUACUGUAAUUAAAUUCGAUUUAAUUAAAAAAAAACAAUUUUGGAGAGGAAGCUGAGACAUUUGGAUUUUAGGCCUUGUGUCUCCUCUACCUCUCUCUCUCUCUCUAAUUUUUUUUUCCUUAAUCUGUGUGCAAAAAUCAUUGUAUUUGUAACGUUUUUUGGAACAACUAAAUCUUUGCUUUCUGACAUAUAUAUACACCACUAUCAUAUAUGUAUAUGUAUAUAUAUACAUCUCUCUUCUGAUAUAAUUGAGUCCGUGAUCCAGCAAUUUUUCUUAGUGGGGGGUUAAAAAGGAAGUUUUUUUUUCAUCCAUAGAUAUCAUUUCAUGAAUUUUGGGGAUUUUCUUGAUAACAAUUCUUGCGGCGGCGGAGGCGGUGGCGGUGGUGGUGGUGGUGGUGGUGGUGGGAGAAUCGUCGCCGGCGAUUUACCUUACAUAAACUAUAACAAAAGCAU